This is a long non-coding RNA of Sorghum bicolor (sorghum), 1617 nucleotides long. RefSeq lists it as uncharacterized. The transcript has 7 exons. The record is from RefSeq and is a predicted model, not a curated record. Lineage: Eukaryota; Viridiplantae; Streptophyta; Magnoliopsida; Poales; Poaceae.
CUCUGCUCCGGUCAGCAGGACCCGCCCCUGACGCGCCCGCCCUCCACUCCCCCGCUCGCCCGCGUGCGGGUCGCACGCACGCGCCGCCCAUCCCGCCCUGCGAGGACAAGUUCUUCAUCAAGUCCCCCUGCUACGACUUCCUCUGGAGCGACAGCGGGAGCAAUCGCAUCAGGGGCAUCGUCGACGCCGUCAGGAAGAACAAGCCCGGACGACCCAUACUGCCCGAAAAGGAGGACUUGUGUGAGGGACUCGGCAACCCCGAUUGUCUUCGUCGGCGUUAAGGGUCUUCCUGCACCACGUCGACUCGCCACUGCACCGACUCAGAAUAUGGAGACAAGCAGGAGCGGGUCAGGAGAGAGUUUUGGAAAUUUUUCAAGUGUGAAGAGGGAUAUGAGGUGAUGGCGGAGAAGAACUUGGUGAAAGGUGCUAGGAAAGGCAUUUCCGACAUGCACUACGAGGAGCGCCUCAUUUGCAUCGUCAAGUACCAUGCCAAGCGACUUGGUCAGAAAAUCACCAAGACACGGGCAAGACAAAGGCCUUUGACCAGGGAAUAGUUCCUUGAGAAGAUUCCUUGGUGGUGCGAGUCGUAUGCCGACUGUUGGGAGAUGAUUGUGGACAGGUGGUUCACAGCGGAGUAUAUCCAGGAGCACGAAUCCCACCGGAAUCGGGCCUUGCAGGCGAGAGGCCCCACACACCACCAAGGCAGUCGCAGCCUCAGCGCGUACAAGCAAGCAUGGUCGGUGUCGCAUAGUGGCCAGUCUGUGUCCACGUUCAUGGCGUAUGGACUUGCCCGCAAGGGAAAGGCGACUUCUAGUGCCACCUUCAGCCCCGACGACCCGCCCGAGUCGUACAGCAAUCCGAACGCCUACACCCGCAUCAGCUCCUAUGCCUCGGAGGCAUGGUCGGUCCAGGGGCCAGACUGGGAUCCGAGCACCGACGAUAUAGAUGGGCCGAUUGUCAUGAGGAUUGGACAAGGCAAGAAGCAUGGGCGGUACUGGCUUGGCGAUGGCAGCCUCGACACCAGCUCUGUUCCCAGCCUCUCCCAGAUCCGGGCACAGACCCCGACCGGAGGCCCGGCCAUAUGCCAACGGUCGUCCCCUUCAUAGCAGCGGGUCGAUGCACUCUAGGCCGAGAACGAGAGGAUGGCUCAGGAGCUGCGAGACCUGGCUGCGAGGACCGAGCAGGCCGAGCGAGAACGACAGGCCGAGCGGGAAAGGCAGGCCAAGCAGUUGGUGGAGAUUAUGGCGUACCUGCACAACAUUGGCCACCUCACCGGUGUACAACCGCCACAAUUCACUCCACCGCCGUAAGUUUUCGCUAGCCCGCCUCCGUCGGCGGGUUCGAAUAACCCAUCUCAGGCGCAAGCAGGUGACGGUGCUUUUCCUUCACCAGGCACUCAGUUUCCACCUCAGCUCUAGUUUGUUUAUCUUUUUCACCACUUGAUGGACAUGUGAUGGACUGUGAACGACUAUCGACUUGUGAAGAUGGAUAUUGAACCUAUUAUGUUUAUGUCGUCGUGUAUGUGAGAUAUUGUGUGCUUGUGAUGUGAUAUAGAUGUGGAUUUGAGUUUGUGAUGAGAUGGAUACGAUAUAUAUGUGCUAUAUUGUGUUUGUGAUA